CUGUCGUCAGCUCGUGUCGUGAGAUGUAGGGUUUAAGUCCCGCAACGAGCGCAACCCUUGUCUUUAAUUGCCAUCAUUGAGUUUGGGCACUUUUAAAGAGACUGCCGGUGUUAAACCGGAGGAAGUGGGAUGACGUCAAGUCCUCAUGGCCUUUAUGCCCAGGGCUACACACGUGCUACAAUGGGUGGUACAAAGAGCAGCCAGCUCGCGAGAGUGAGCAAAUCUCAAAAAGCCAUCCUCAGUUCGGAUUGAAGUCUGCAACUCGACUUCGUGAAGCUGGAUUCGCUAGUAAUCGCGCAUCAGCCAUGGCGCGGUGAAUACGUUCCCGGGCCUU
This 334-nucleotide ribosomal RNA is filed under the name uncultured Syntrophus sp. RNAcentral's name for it is "bacterial SSU rRNA". It matches the Rfam family "Bacterial small subunit ribosomal RNA", at positions 1049 to 1382 of the family's 1533-position model. The record is from RNAcentral. Lineage: Bacteria; Pseudomonadati; Thermodesulfobacteriota; Syntrophia; Syntrophales; Syntrophaceae.